GACGAACGCUGGCGGCGUGCUUAACACAUGCAAGUCGAGCGGUAAGGCCCUUUCGGGGGUACACGAGCGGCGAACGGGUGAGUAACACAUGGGUGACCUGCCCUCAGCUCUGGGAUAAGCCUGGGAAACCGGGUCUAAUACCGGAUAUGACUCCAUGACGCAUGUUGUGGGGUGGAAAGCCUUGUGCGGCUGAGGAUGGGCCCGCGGCCUAUCAGCUUGUUGGUGGGGUGAUGGCCUACCAAGGCGACGACGGGUAGCCGGCCUGAGAGGGCGACCGGCCACACUGGGACUGAGACACGGCCCAGACUCCUACGGGAGGCAGCAGUGGGGAAUCUUGCGCAAUGGGCGAAAGCCUGACGCAGCGACGCCGCGUGAGGGAUGACGGCCUCGG
Molecule: ribosomal RNA, 391 nt
Filed under: uncultured bacterium
Lineage: Bacteria
Description: bacterial SSU rRNA
Rfam family: Bacterial small subunit ribosomal RNA
Source: RNAcentral